RNAcentral lists this non-coding RNA (31 nucleotides) under Mus musculus (house mouse). Lineage: Eukaryota; Metazoa; Chordata; Mammalia; Rodentia; Muridae. The record is from RNAcentral.
UAGGAUCAGAAAUAACCCAAUUUUGAGUUUC